Mesocricetus auratus (golden hamster) is the source of this 1961-nucleotide long non-coding RNA. RefSeq lists it as uncharacterized. The record is from RefSeq and is a predicted model, not a curated record. The transcript is spliced from 3 exons. Lineage: Eukaryota; Metazoa; Chordata; Mammalia; Rodentia; Cricetidae.
GAUUUCCUGAAAGCAGAAGAGAAGAACUGGUCUUAGGUAGUUGUGCCCAUCCACCCCAGACACAGCACAGUUUCCUCCAUGAAACCAUGUUCAAAUGCCCCCCUCCCCGGAUAAUUUAAAACAGAAUAUACAAAGGCAAAUAUGUUUCUGGUCAAGCAGAUCAACCAGUGCCUCCCUGCUGGCCUCUGUGUGUGUAGAACACAGUCCAAACUUCACUGCCGUUUGCUCAGGCAAGACACAAGAUACCAUCUGUCUUACAAAACCAGGUGUCUGGGGCCUAUCAAUAUUCAUGUAAAUCCAUGCAGAGACCGACUACUUCAUGGUACCUGUUAGUUACUUCCCUCCUCAUUUCUGUCGUCUCUUCUCUGGAGUUUCCAUCAGCAGAACUGCAGGUAGGAGGUUCUUGCUCUCUGACUUAACAUUGGGAGCCUGCAGCUCCCUUCUUCACCCCAGCCCCUCCUUACCCCCUGGACCUCCUUCCCUGAUUGCCUCCUCCUUCAGCAAUGCCUUUCUUUUCAUUCCUUGGGGAUUUGGCCUUCCUUUACCACACACAAGCUUUCUUUCCCCAACACGGCAUAAAAGCAACCCAAAUUCUAUAUAUUUUAUGCCUGUUGUCCCAGUUUCUAUUAGUUGUUUUCCUUAGAAUGUCUAAAUUUUAAAUUGUUUUUAAUUUUAGUGGGAUGUACAAUCUCUCCUAUCAAUAAAUGUACUCUCAUUAAUAUUCUGUCUAACUGUCUUAUAAAAAUGUUUUGCUUAUUUUUAUUUUAUGUGUGUGUGUUUCCGUAUGCAUGUAAUCACACUAAAUGUGUGUAUUGCCUGAGAACACCAGAGACAGCAUUGGAUUCCCUGGAACUAAAGUUACAGCAAUUUGUGGGAUGCUUGGAUGCUGGGAACCCAACCUGGGUCCUCUACAUGAGUAGUCAGUGCUCUUAACUGUUCAGCCAACACUCCAGCUGCUGUCCCAGUGUAUUCAAUGCUACCUCUGUCUUAUACAAGUCAUGGUAUGUAUGUAAACCUGGAUUCUCUGAUCUCCUCCUAGACACCACUAUAAAAUGCAGUAGGCUGGGUGGCUUGAACAACAGAUGUUUAUCCUCUCACCAUGUGGGGACUUGAUGACCAAGAGCAAGACUAAAUGGUUGCAGGACCAGGAGGACAGAAACUUCCAUCUACAUAUGGCAUCCAAUGGCAUAUGUAUUACCUGACAACAGCUUUAAAAGGGAUUUUGAAGCACAGCUUCUUGGUAACAGCAUUUUCUCGGGUGGGCUCUGUUUGCUAUAGGGUUCUUCAUGACAACGAGAUACAACUGCUCCUGGCAACACCAAUUAUGUCAGAGGCAUUGAAGAAACUCAUUACAGAAUUUGCCUUCAUGUGGCAAAACUGGUCUAUUGGGCAAAAAACUGCUCUUGCCUUAACUGCUGACAGUAAGCAUGCUGUCCAAAGUGGACAAGUUGGUUACAAAGGAAAGUGACUGUUGAAUUUGCCAAAAGACAGGCUGGUUCUUUAGUGUUCCUGCUUUACAGAAGAAAGCAACUGGCAAACUUGGCCAAUGCAAGACGAACAGAUCUUCAAAUCUCCUACUUCAUUAAAAAGUCUGCCAGACACUAUGGCCUAUGGGCUGAACAUGGAUGCCCUGUUGUUACAGAAGAACUUUGGGUGACUCUCCAGGCAAUGAGAUGUCUCAGUCCGGUUCCUUCUGAGGUCUUUGAUGGAGUUGAAGACAGUUAGUUAGGGUUAUGGUUUUCCUUAGUUAUGAUAAAAGAUGAGUUACAUAUAAAACUCUAGACUCACGAAGAGAGGAUAAAGUAGUGUCUUUAAAUUUUGCUUAAUGUUAGUGGAUUAAAUGUUGUAAAUAUAAUUCUUGCUUGGUAACUGUUUUGUUAUGUAUACUUUUACUAUGUUAAAGUUAAAACCUUUCUUUUAUGUACACAGAAAAGAGGAGAUAAUGAGGGAUGUCCUUCUGU